CUCAGAAGGUGGGGCCGACCCACAAAUAAGGGGUCAAGACAAACCAGGAAGAGAGAGAAGGGGCUGGAAGGAUCUGCGAACCAUAGAGAAAGAGACAAUAUAUUUCGACUGGAUUUACCGUGUAUGAGCUGGACUGUUUGGACUUACCUGUUGGCGUUUGGACCUGGACCUACCGAGAACCCGAUUCGUGUACCGAACCUUGCUAUCCUUGACCUCGCCUGCGGCCUGCGUGGACCAGGACGGAGAAACAAACACGCAGGUUAUGAGAAUCUACAGUCUGAAGCAAUAUCCCUUGAUCCAUGGACUGUACUUGAAAUGAUACAAGAUCACCGAGAGCAUCACUGAGGAGAGAAUCACCAAGGACAGGGGAGCAUGAACAUCUACCAUCUACCGCCCCGCAUGAUUUGUUCAUUUUGAAUAAACCUAUUUUCCUCCCCCUGAUUUGCUUUGGGGUCUGUGUUAUUGAAUAAUAACAUCAACUACUAACACGUCACGUUAACAUUAGCUAAAGUUAACCAAAUAUGUUUGUACAUAAAUCAGGGAUUUCCUCAUCGUCUGAUUCAUUUUCAGAGUCAAUUUGGCACUAUCGUCCUCCAGAAAGUAGUCCAUCACAACUUUUUCCCACAGACCUUUGUCAAUAGCGCCUGAUAAAAUCAGGACAGCAAUGUUAUUGAGAGCAAUAGCAACAUAUUUGCAGUUCUCCAUGGCUAAUGUUAUAUCUUAUGAAAAAAAAAUUGUAUAAAGGAUUAUCUAUGCAUAACAAGCAGCUUAUUUUAUAGACUCAAGAUGCAACACCGCAGACCAAUCUGAAACUCAUCUCUCGGCAGGUCCACCC
Molecule: long non-coding RNA, 835 nt
Filed under: Salmo salar (Atlantic salmon)
Lineage: Eukaryota; Metazoa; Chordata; Actinopteri; Salmoniformes; Salmonidae
Description: lncRNA (ENSSSAG00000107052.1, ENSSSAG00020075170.1)
Source: RNAcentral